GACGAACGCUGGCGGCGUGCUUAACACAUGCAAGUCGAACGGAAAGGCCCUGCUUUUGUGGGGUGCUCGAGUGGCGAACGGGUGAGUAACACGUGAGUAACCUGCCCUUGACUUUGGGAUAACUUCAGGAAACUGGGGCUAAUACCGGAUAGGAGCUCCUGCUGCAUGGUGGGGGUUGGAAAGUUUCGGCGGCUGGGGAUGGACUCGCGGCUUAUCGGCUUGUUGGUGGGGUAGUGGCUUACCAAGGCUUUGACGGGUAGCCGGCCUGAGAGGGUGACCGGCCACAUUGGGACUGAGAUACGGCCCAGACUCCUACGGGAGGCAGCAGUGGGGAAUAUUGCACAAUGGGCGGAAGCCUGAUGCAGCAACGCCGCGUGCGGGAUGACGGCCUUCGGGUUGUAAACCGCUUUCGCCUGUGACGAAGCGUGAGUGACGGUAAUGGGUAAAGAAGCACCGGCUAACUACGUG
This 468-nucleotide ribosomal RNA is filed under the name uncultured bacterium. RNAcentral describes it as "partial 16S ribosomal RNA". It matches the Rfam family "Bacterial small subunit ribosomal RNA", at positions 28 to 507 of the family's 1533-position model. The record is from RNAcentral.